This 253-nucleotide ribosomal RNA is filed under the name uncultured bacterium. RNAcentral's name for it is "partial 16S ribosomal RNA". It matches the Rfam family "Bacterial small subunit ribosomal RNA", at positions 524 to 776 of the family's 1533-position model. The record is from RNAcentral.
UACGAAGGGGGCUAGCGUUGUUCGGAUUUACUGGGCGUAAAGCGCACGUAGGCGGAUUGGUCAGUUAGGGGUGAAAUCCCGGAGCUCAACUCCGGAACUGCCUUUGAUACUGGCCGUCUAGAGAUCGGAAGAGGUGAGUGGAAUUCCCAGUGUAGAGGUGAAAUUCGUAGAUAUUCGGAAGAACACCAGUGGCGAAGGCGACUCACUGGCCCGUUACUGACGCUGAGGCGCGAAAGCGUGGGGAGCAAACAGG